GUGAAUCAUCGAAUUUUUGAACGCAAAUUGCACUCUCCUCUGAGAGUAUGCCUGUUUGAGGUUCAGCCUAUAAAAAUCGCCAUCGUUUCUUUUUCGCGGUGGCGUUCGUCGGAAAUUGGGUCAUCUUAAAUCCUUUUGAUUUAAGCGACUUACGAUUUUCUUUUGGUUCCAUGAACGUUUCUAAGAUUUAUUUCUUUACACGUUUAAGGUAUCAAUUUUUACUAGACGUGACAACUAUAUCGGAUCGCGUCCAUAAUCUUUCAUUAUCUGACCUCAGACAGUUAAUAUGACCCACUGAA
This 299-nucleotide unclassified non-coding RNA is filed under the name Glomus sp. RNAcentral describes it as "partial contains 5.8S ribosomal RNA and internal transcribed spacer 2". The stretch from base 1 to 65 matches the Rfam family "5.8S ribosomal RNA", at positions 84 to 154 of the family's 154-position model. The record is from RNAcentral. Lineage: Eukaryota; Fungi; Glomeromycota; Glomeromycetes; Glomerales; Glomeraceae.